RNAcentral lists this ribosomal RNA (404 nucleotides) under uncultured prokaryote. RNAcentral's name for it is "bacterial SSU rRNA". It matches the Rfam family "Bacterial small subunit ribosomal RNA", at positions 355 to 776 of the family's 1533-position model. The record is from RNAcentral. RNAcentral also lists the same sequence under 1 other name.
UGGGGAAUAUUGCACAAUGGGGGAAACCCUGAUGCAGCGACGCCGCGUGAGUGAAGAAGUAUUUCGGUAUGUAAAGCUCUAUCAGCAGGGAAGAAAAUGACGGUACCUGACUAAGAAGCACCGGCUAAAUACGUGCCAGCAGCCGCGGUAAUACGUAUGGUGCAAGCGUUAUCCGGAUUUACUGGGUGUAAAGGGAGCGUAGGCGGCGGGGCAAGUCAGAAGUGAAAGCCCGGGGCUCAACCCCGGGACUGCUUUUGAAACUGUUCUGCUAGAGUGUCGGAGAGGUAAGCGGAAUUCCUAGUGUAGCGGUGAAAUGCGUAGAUAUUAGGAGGAACACCAGUGGCGAAGGCGGCUUACUGGACGAUAACUGACGCUGAGGCUCGAAAGCGUGGGGAGCAAACAGG